This 6730-nucleotide long non-coding RNA is filed under the name Podarcis lilfordi (Lilford's wall lizard). The stretch from base 2515 to 2586 matches the Rfam family "tRNA". The record is from RNAcentral. Lineage: Eukaryota; Metazoa; Chordata; Lepidosauria; Squamata; Lacertidae.
GGUACGGGGGAUUGAACUUUCUGCAUGCAAAGUGGAUGCUGUGCCGCUCAGCUACAAUCCACUGGGCUGUAUGGGACGGUGUGCCACAAAUCCAAGCUUUACUCAGUUGCACCUCUGUGCCCCUAAUGAGCCCAAACACACUGAUUGUGUGUUUCUGCUUGUGACUGUCUUUAGGCCAGUUUUGCCCUGAGAAAGAAUCAAAACCUGCUCUUGCCGUAUAUUUUUUUCAGUUAAGUGACACCGCCUUUCUCUCUCUCUUUCUCUCUAACAGUGGUGUACCUGAGGACGCGACUAUGGACGUCCUAGGGCUGCGUGCCAGAGAUAUAGAUUGCAACUGGAAGCCUGAAAAGGCUUGCUGAAGGGGGACUAGUUUGUGCCUUGGGCAGAGGCAAGGGCAUAAUGGAACAUUUUGGAACAGGAGCCGGGCAGAGACAAGGAGGUGGAAGUAUGUGGAAAGUUAUGGGUGGCUUAGAGGGGGCUGGCUGGCGUCCUUGCCCUAGCUGCCUCAGAGAGAGGCUUCAGGGACCUGGGGGUGGUCUAUUUCUGCUGAGAUCCUGAAGAAAGAUCUGGGAGAAUGGUAAGCAUCUAUAAAUAGAGUGUGUCAGCCGAGUGGAAAUGGAGCCUCUAAAGCGCUAGAGAGAGGGAGACAGAGAAAGAGACCAGUGUCUUGAUAAACAGGUUUGUGUUGUGGGGAGGACUGUGUUUGUAAUGAGAUCCGGGACUGAGCAAUGGGGGCCUGGGAAUAGGGGUGAUGGUGCGGAAGCUACUUCCUGUUUGGUUGGGGUGUGUACGUCAAGGCCUUGUCCAAAGGCAUAAUUCUAGUUGUGUGGAAUAAUGUCCAGGUCAUAUUGCCUUGGGUGCAUGCUCUGGCAAGAAUGUGAGGGGGAUGAAGAGUGCUGAGUGGUUUGGGAAUCUCAAUCUAAAAACACCUCUGGCCUGUAUUCCAGCUUGUGAUGAAUGAGUCCUCUGGGCAACAGGCCUUCCUAUGGAACUUUUAGCUGAAGUGCUGAAGCAGCCUUCCCGCUCAACCUGGUUCCUUCCAGAUGUCUAUUUGGGACUAAAAUCCCAUCAACCCUAGCCAGCGUGAUCAGUGGGUCAUGGGAUUUGUAGUCCCAACAAACCACCUGGAAGCCACCAGGUUGGGGGCGGUUGUUUAAUAUUAGAACGGGUCUCUGUUUUGUAGGAGCCUUCUAUGUGGUCACCUGUUGGUUGGUCGGUGCCAUGAACUUCACAGGAUACCACGGCUCUCUCAGCCAGGAUAGAACUAUCUUACCUGUUAAAACAAAUCCCAAGGAGUUGUUGAGCAGAGAUGUUUCAAGGUGCUUCAGGACCAAUUCAUCAAUUCAAAUAGCAAGGGGAACUAACAGUAUGGGAACCUCUUGUUGUCAUUGGAAAUAAGGAUAAAUAAAGGUGGGUUGUUGUUGUUGUUUUUUAAAAAAAGUUGCACUGAUGUGGUGGAAGAGUGAGAGUAGGGCCAGAGCAACUUGAGACAGUGCACACUAAAACCAGAGGCAGAAUUUGCAGGAAAGUUGCCUAUAAUUUUGGCAAGCUUUUGCAGGAGACCUACCUAGUAGAUCAUGCCAACCAUGGAGCUAGGCCUGUUUGUCUGUCACCCUUAAUAAUGCUCCAAACCCAUUGCUUGAAGCUUCUGUCCCACCUUGUUUAUGGUAGGAAUUCAUUUGGGUGAUACGUGAGGAAGAGGAGUAUGUUCACUUUCUAGACUGAGAGUGUCCCUAUUGUGGAGAUUAGGGAUUCUGGUGGUGGUUAACAAGUAAGAUUAUUCUAAAGCAACCUUCCCCAAACUUAGUUUCCUCCAGGUGUUGCUGGACCACAACUCCCAUCAUCCCUGACCAUAUGGUUUGGAGAUGAUAGGAGCUGGAGUCCAACUAUAUCUGGAGGGCACCAGGGUUGGGAUGCCUGGUUCUUGCACUGGUGGUUGUGGAUGAGUGGUGGAUAGCGUAGCCCUGCUCAGUUAGUGCCUUGCUAAAGUGAAUGUGCUCUGCCAACCAUGCAUGCCACCCUGCUGGGCAUCCAUAUCCCGUGUUGUUAUUUUGCCACCUGCCCAGAGAUAUGGGAAUGUCAAAGCACCUGACAAGUCUGACUGGUGGGUUAUAAGUUGUGCAGGCCAAGAGAAGAGAGAGACUCCGCUAGAUAUUCUGCACAUCCUUGGAAAUUGCAAAGUUCCUCAUAUGAUGAUUCCACCCUCCUUUCUUUGGAGCAAACAGAUAACAGAGGGGAGGAGGAGGGCUGUUUCUGUUUUCACGUUUGACAUGUGUGUGUUUUCCCUUCUAGGAGAAAGGGGUUAAAUUUAGUCAGUUUGGAUAAUCUGCAUCCAUGGACUUGCAAGUUCCUCAUCAUGCAUGUUGCCAGCCCUGGCAAAGGGGGAUGCUUGCUUUAUGCUUUUGAAGCAAUUAAUCAACCUCUCUCAUUCAAACAUGACCUUAAAAAAUAAAAUAGUAUAGUAAUAUUCUGGAUAGUCAAAGACUUGUGAUUUAAGUAUUCUUGAUAUUGGGAAGGGUUGUAGCUCUGUGGUGGAGCAUCUGCUUUGCAUGCAGGAGAACCCUAGUUCAAUCACUGGCAUCUCCAAGUGGGACCAGGAGAGAACCUUUCCUGAAGAUAUGGACAGCCGCUGCCAAUCAGUGUAGACAAUACUGCGCUAGAUGGGUCCAUGGUCUGACUUGGUAUAUGGCAGCUUCCGGGGCUCCUAUCUUAUCGCUGUCCCCUCCAAAGGUCACAGUGGGUUUUUGUUAAGAGUUCAGCAUCCACUUCAAAAAGUUAAGUCACACUUUUUUAAAAAAACAACACAGCAAUGCAAAAUCUGUCAUGGUGCAUGGAAACUGACAGUGUUCUUCAGGCCAUUGACGUAUUAGCGUUUUGUCUGCCUCGUUUGUGGUGUAGCAUGAAUAUGGUGACCAUGGUGCAUGAUUCAUGCUGCAUGUGUGAUGGGGUUAUGGGAGACAAGACACAAGAUUCUUGAACUUGUAUGAUCCUCUGAACGAAUGAGUAUCGCACGUUGUUGGAUGUGAGCAUGUGCUAGUACUUUGCACAGAUCGUUGUGAUGAAAAGCCCCAUUGCAUGGAUGUAACUGCAUGUUUAUUCCUAGUGGUGGCAUCUCCCCUACAAGAACUGUAGGCCACAAAUCUGAUGCAUGUUUACUUGGAAGCAAAUCCCAUUAUCUUCAGUGUGGCUUAUUCACUGUAAAGGAGUUGAGGGUUAUUACCCAGGUCUCUUUCCAUGCCUAACCUGCAGACCUCUGUCAUAAGGGGCAACCUCUUCUUGAGCUCAGUCUCUAGUGUCAAGUGCAUCAAAUUGUGGAUUUCUCUUAGAUGCAAGCUAGAACACAAAACUUUAAUAUGUGGUGCAUUCUACCACAACGUAUAUCCAAACGUAUGCUGAUGUAUUUGUUUAUAGUUGUUUCCCUUUACAGUAAAAUGCUAGUUUAAAAAUAUCUGUCUACUGGCAUUUCUUUUGCAAAUUAGCAGGCAACCAGGCUUUUGGGUGCUGCUACAGUUAUAGGAACACAGGAAGCUUCUUUAUAUUGACUCAAACCAUUGGUCAUCAAGCUCAGUUUGGUCCACAUGCUGGCUGGCAGUGGCUCUCCAGGGUUUCAGGCAAUAGUCUCUCCCAGCCCUACCUGGAGAUGCCAGGGAUUGAACUUGGGACCUUCUGCAUUCAAGCAAAUUCUAUGCCACUGGACAACAUCCCUUCCUACUGGAGUGUUUGACUCUAGUGCCUGUUACAAAAGCAUUUGUGGCUAAUUCUAUGCAUGCCCUCUUAAAAGAAUCAGCUUUGGCUUCAGCCUUGGUGCUUUGGAAUUUGGUCUUUCCUGCUGUUCCACAGAGAAGGUAGUGGUCUUCUCAAGGCUAGCUAACAUAGGUUGCUGCCUUUAUACUGAGUCAAACAAUUGGUCCAACAAGCUCACUAUUUUCUAUACUAACUGAGAGGAUUUCAGGCAGGAGUCUCUCCCAGUCCUAUUUGGAGAUUCUAGGGACUGAACCUGGGAUCUUCUGCAUGCAAGGCAACUCUGCUGCUGAGCUAUAUUCCUUACCCACGAUACCCAUCUAGGUAUCAGUCCAGGGAUUGAGAGCAUUGACUUGGUGCUCCCAAGAUACAUGCACUGCUACAGACCCUUGCCAGGCUAUGUGGCUAGCAGUAAGCAAACAGCUGGGGACCAUAGCAGGGCUGGUGUCUUGGGGCAAAAAGGUACUUGCCUUUCCCUUGAUGCUUUAUUGGGUGAUAAAGCUCCAGAGUCUAACUGGGUCUAAAGCUUGCAUGCCUAGUUCUAGUAUCAGUCAUGCAGCAUAGCAUAGUAUGAGUUUAGGUGGUGCUUAUUUUAAGUUAGAUCUGGGGUCUGUUUUGGCUUGGCUUGGAUCAGGUGAAGUAGGAGUGUUUUCUCUGCAGGGACAAUUCAUGCUUCUAUCAGCUGACCAAAACUUAAGUAUCCUACACCAGGAAUGAACCAGGAGGUAUCAUAGAAUCAUAGAACUGUAGAGUUGGAAAGGAACAGUUGGCUUUGACUCCUGAGCAGAUGCGUCUCUGGUGCCUGUUGUAUUGGAGCAGGGGUGGGGAAAUUUUAGCCCUCCAGAUGUUGCACUCCCAACUCCCAUCAGCCUUAACUGGCAUGGCCAAUAGUCAGGGAUGGUGGGGAAUGUAGUUCAACAGCCUCCAGAGGGCCAGAGGUUCUCCAUCCUUUCGUUAUAGCAGGGUUUCCCAAACUUGGGUUUUCAGCUGGUUUUAGACUAUAAUUCCCAUCAUCCGUGACCACUGGUUCUGCUAGCUAUGGAUAAUGGGAGUUGCAGUCCAAAAGCAGCUGGAGACCCAAGUUUGGGAAACUUUGUGUUAGAGGAAGGAAAGGAUAGACCUCUAAUGAAAUUGGUAUUAAGGUGUUACCUUGGUUUUGUUAGCUUUUCUAGUUUUUUUGAUCUGAAUAUUUUAAAGAAAUAGAUAUCCUUUCUGGCAAGUUUUACAGCACUUGGUUCCAAAACAAAAAUCCUGUCUUUAGGCAUAUUUCCACAAAAUGUUUGUAAAGUAUUAAUUACUUUCAGGGUAAAAUACACUAAAGCUGAACUCUGAUCCCUACCUACCCAGGAAUAAGCCCCAUUGAAUUCAGCAGGACUUACUUCUGAGUAGACAUGGCUGGGAUUACCUUGUAAAUCUUCCAGCUCUUCUUGUAUAGGAAGUUUUGGCAUUUUGAAGCCCAGCCAUAUCUUUGUAUUAGACAUCCCAGGGAGCAAUACUUGGGGCUGGCCUAAGAUAUUUUGCUGCCUAAGGCAGAGAAUCAAAUAGUGUCCCUCGCCCACUUGAGUCAAGGUGCAUAGCAUCCAAGGGCGGCCAAGUUAUUUCUACGAGGCAGAAAAUACCACAAGCACCUUUCCCCCCUCCCUGCCGGUAAAAAUACAAAAACAAUAAAUUAAGUAACCAGCAAUUUGCUGUCCUUUCAUUAUACUCAAAAUCAGCUGCCUGAGGCAGCGUCCUCAUUCUGCCUAAUGGUAGGAUCGGCCCUGGCAAUACUAUGUUGUUUCUCCUUUGACAUUGUGUCCAUACAGUGCCAUAUGAACUUCAGAAGAUGACACCAGCUAAGAGGUUAAUAGAGCAGGAUUCAGGAGUAUGUUCAUGUUGUUCUUCUGUUGAUGUUGUUUUAAACCCAAAGUAUUUGUAUCUGAAUUAUUUUGCCCCAUAACUACUUCACUGCUGUUUCUUCCCUAAGCUGUAAUUACUGUAGUAAAUAAUUGCUGUAAUUAUGAGGCCUUUAAAACAGAGCGAGCGAGCGGGGGAUGGAUGGAUGGCGUCACUUGCUGUCUGUAGAAAAUUGUGGUUACUGUCAUGUACUCGUACUUGGGUGUAUUUUGAGAAAAGGAUGCAUGGGUGUCAAUCGGAGAUGCUUCAGGCCUAGGUGAACCUUUCAUUGUAGCCCAGAGGUAGGCAAAAUAGAGAUCAGGAUAUCCUGGUAAUGAUCUGGGGUAAACCGGAAAUGGACUUCCAAAGCAACCACAAGAAGACUUGUUGUAUUCCUGAAUUAUGCUGCUAAAGCAAUAAACGUCAUGGGGAGGGGAAGACAAGGAGUGGAUUUUGUAGCGUGUAAGGGCCCUGAGCUCAGUUCCUGGGCUGAGGGUGUGCCUGCACAGGGGCACCCAGUUCUAUAAUUCUGAACUGUGCAUUGACUUGCUUUAAGCCAUUGAUUUGCUCCAGACCCUGGACAGCGGACCCCAUAAAAAAACAAAUUACGUCCUGCAAGGCUAAUGUUCAUACAGCCCUGAUGUAACCUGUCGUCCGCUUGAAAGGCCGCCUUUUCCCAUUGAACCUGUCUUAAUUUUUCAGCUCCGUUUAGAAGGCUCUCCUCUGUAUGACUGUAGGUAGGUGCAGACUGGGAUAAGGGCCUUUUUUGUGCUGCUGCUGCUCCAUUUACAGAACACUCUCUUCCCCAGGCUUAUGAGGCACCAGUAUUGGUGCCCUGCAAGCAUCAAGCUAAAAACUUUAUUCUCCUGAACUGGACUGGGAGCCUGCCUUUAAUAUGCUGUUACCAGAGGUGGCCUAAAGAUACCAGAGGUGCCACAGUAUAUUCUAUUGGCUGUAAUUUGUUUUAUACUGGUUUUUUUAAAAAAAUAAGGUAUUUUCAAAUUGCUGUAACCUGCCCUGGGACCUUAUGUUAAUGGGCGGGUAAGAAAUCUAAUAAAUAGUAGUAGUAGUAGUAGUAGUAGUAGUAGUAAUACACAGCAUGCAGUAAUCAAUU